Molecule: ribosomal RNA, 253 nt
Filed under: uncultured bacterium
Lineage: Bacteria
Description: partial 16S ribosomal RNA
Rfam family: Bacterial small subunit ribosomal RNA
Source: RNAcentral
UGCGUAGGUGGCAAGCGUUGUCCGGAAUUAUUGGGCGUAAAGCGCUCGCAGGCGGUUUCUUAAGUCUGAUGUGAAAGCCCACGGCUCAACCGUGGAGGGUCAUUGGAAACUGGGAGACUUGAGUGCAGAAGAGGAGAGUGGAAUUCCACGUGUAGCGGUGAAAUGCGUAGAGAUGUGGAGGAACACCAGUGGCGAAGGCGACUCUCUGGUCUGUAACUGACGCUGAGGAGCGAAAGCGUGGGGAGCAAACAGG